This 373-nucleotide transfer-messenger RNA is filed under the name Campylobacterota bacterium. RNAcentral's name for it is "Epsilonproteobacteria bacterium transfer-messenger RNA". It matches the Rfam family "transfer-messenger RNA". Rfam says of the family: Bacterial tmRNA, also known as 10Sa RNA or SsrA, is named for its dual tRNA and mRNA-like properties. Its role is to liberate the mRNA from a stalled ribosome. RNAcentral also lists the same sequence under 2 other names. Lineage: Bacteria; Pseudomonadati; Campylobacterota. The record is from RNAcentral.
GGGGGUGACUUGGUUUCGACUGGAGUAGUCGGGGCUAUGUGCAUGUCGGACUGAGCAAUUCCGUUACGCGGCUCAUUUAGCUUAAACGCAAACAAUACAGAUUACCGUCCAGCUUACGCAGUAGCGUAAGUCCUAACCCCGGUUCGCCGGAGGACUGCCUCUCUAGUGAGUGUCAUCUUAACUAGAUUUUGAGGUAUCAUAUCUGAUGACUAUAUCUACCGGCUGCCGAACCGAUAGACGAAUCCUAAGGCUGGUCUUGUAUAGUUUUGGGUGUAGUACGAAGCAAGAUAAGAUUUAUCAACACCAUCUAAACAUGUAGAGUCAUAGUUCUAUCUAUUUUAGGACACGGGUUCAAUUCCCGUCGCCUCCACCA